CUACAACCUGAAUUUUAGUUUGGCAGUUUUAGUGAUUCUGAAAAGAAAACCAAAGGAUAAGAUUCUAAGGUCAUGAAAUAUUUGCCUGUUUUACUCUACCUUGUCUAUAUUGAGAUGUCAUUUAUUUACUCCUGAAAAUCGAGAAUAUCAGUUGAUACUCUUGGUUAAUCAAUAGUUUUAUCAAUGAAGUAUAUACUUUUGGCUUUCUAUCGAUGUCACCCCGGUUAUUUGUUAAUUACACAUUGAAGUCAGCUGCACAUCUACCUUGGAAGACAUUUACGUAAAAAGCUUGUAAUAGUUUCAUUAACAAUGUCUGCUUUUCUUAUCCCCACACCAACAUCAUACUGGCUGACAUAGUAUAAAGAACAGGUGUUUCUUAUUUAUCUUCACCAAAGAUGGCUUUGUCCUGUGGAUAAAAGUAGAAUAAACAUAUUUGAGAAGCCUUACUGAGGAAAAGGCCAUGUGAAACCCUGACACAGACUAA
This 484-nucleotide long non-coding RNA is filed under the name Homo sapiens (human). RNAcentral describes it as "non-protein coding lnc-BRINP3-14:1". Lineage: Eukaryota; Metazoa; Chordata; Mammalia; Primates; Hominidae. The record is from RNAcentral.